RNAcentral lists this ribosomal RNA (326 nucleotides) under uncultured fungus. RNAcentral describes it as "SSU rRNA". It matches the Rfam family "Eukaryotic small subunit ribosomal RNA", at positions 1208 to 1565 of the family's 1831-position model. Lineage: Eukaryota; Fungi. The record is from RNAcentral.
GACUCAACACGGGGAAACUCACCAGGUCCAGACACAAUAAGGAUUGACAGAUUGAGAGCUCUUUCUUGAUUUUGUGGGUGGUGGUGCAUGGCCGUUCUUAGUUGGUGGAGUGAUUUGUCUGCUUAAUUGCGAUAACGAACGAGACCUUAACCUGCUAAAUAGCCAGGCCCGCUUUGGCGGGUCGCCGGCUUCUUAGAGGGACUAUCGGCUCAAGCCGAUGGAAGUUUGAGGCAAUAACAGGUCUGYGAUGCCCUUAGAUGUUCUGGGCCGCACGCGCGCUACACUGACAGAGCCAACGAGUUCAUUUCCUUGUCCGAAAGGUCUGG